GGAGGUGUAGCUCAGUGAUUGAGCACUUGCCUAGGCUGACCAAGAUUCUGGGUUCAAUCCCCAGCACCAUGA
This 72-nucleotide transfer RNA is filed under the name Cavia porcellus (domestic guinea pig). It matches the Rfam family "tRNA". From Rfam's summary of the family: Transfer RNA (tRNA) molecules are approximately 80 nucleotides in length. Their secondary structure includes four short double-helical elements and three loops (D, anti-codon, and T loops). The record is from Rfam by way of RNAcentral. Lineage: Eukaryota; Metazoa; Chordata; Mammalia; Rodentia; Caviidae.